CGUAGGCGGUUUGGUAAGUCAGUGGUGAAAGCCCAUCGCUCAACGGUGGAACGGCCAUUGAUACUGCUGAACUUGAAUUAUUGGGAAGUAACUAGAAUAUGUAGUGUAGCGGUGAAAUGCUUAGAGAUUACAUGGAAUACCAAUUGCGAAGGCAGGUUACUACCAAUGGAUUGACGCUGAUGGACGAAAGCGUGGGUAGCGAACAGGAUUAGAUACCCUGGUAGUCCACGCCGUAAACGAUGGAUACUAGCUGUUGGGCGCAAGUUCAGUGGCUAAGCGAAAGUGAUAAGUAUCCCACCUGGGGAGUACGAACGCAAGUUUGAAACUCAAAUAAAUUGACGGGAGG
Molecule: ribosomal RNA, 346 nt
Filed under: Flavobacterium micromati
Lineage: Bacteria; Pseudomonadati; Bacteroidota; Flavobacteriia; Flavobacteriales; Flavobacteriaceae
Description: bacterial SSU rRNA
Rfam family: Bacterial small subunit ribosomal RNA
Source: RNAcentral